CGUAGGGUGCAAGCGUUAAUCGGGAAUUACUGGGCGUAAAGCGUGCGCAGGCGGUUUUGUAAGUCAGAUGUGAAAUCCCCGAGCUCAACUUGGGAACUGCGUUUGAAACUACAAGACUAGAAUAUGUCAGAGGGGGGUAGAAUUCCACGUGUAGCAGUGAAAUGCGUAGAGAUGUGGAGGAAUACCAAUGGCGAAGGCAGCCCCCUGGGAUAAUAUUGACGCUCAUGCACGAAAGCGUGGGGAGCAAACAGGAUUAGAUACCCUGGUAGUCCACGCCCUAAACGAUGUCUACUAGUUGUUGGUGGAGUAAAAUCCAUGAGUAACGCAGCUAACGCGUGAAGUAGACCGCCUGGGGAGUACGGUCGCAAGAUUA
This 373-nucleotide ribosomal RNA is filed under the name uncultured organism. Its description in RNAcentral is "bacterial SSU rRNA". It matches the Rfam family "Bacterial small subunit ribosomal RNA", at positions 526 to 896 of the family's 1533-position model. The record is from RNAcentral.